UGGAAUUCAAAGGUUUUGAUGCAACCAAGUACCCCAUUGAUUUGGAGUAUUGUUUUCAUUUAGAAGCAACAGAUCGUGUUGUUCGACAACAAUUCAUAGUAGACUGCCCAAAAGAUCCACUAAAAGCAAGUUUGGUUCAUGAGAUUGAGGUAUGAGAGGAGCCACGCGUGCUCGAAAUGAUGAACUCGUUGGAAACCAAGGUCGUCCCAAGCACCUUUGCCGCACCAACCCUCACUUUGAAGAGAUACUUGGAAACAAAUUUCAACCAACAAAAGGAGACCUUGGCUCUCCAUGAUCCCGGGUGAUCAUCAUUCCAAAAGUCGGGCUAGGCACUAUAAACCAAGUACUUGUUGGGAGGCUGCCUAGCUAGGUACCUUCAUCUUUUCAAUUUUUUUCUUUAUUUUCCAUCCCUUUAUGCCUUUACUAAUCGUUACAUGCAUCUACUUUGAACAUUGAGUACAAUGCUUAGUUUAGGUUUGGGGGUGUGGAAUUUUUUUUUUAUUUAUUGAUUUU
This 513-nucleotide long non-coding RNA is filed under the name Prunus persica (peach). Its description in RNAcentral is "long non-coding RNA (PPER_LNC002286)". The record is from RNAcentral. Lineage: Eukaryota; Viridiplantae; Streptophyta; Magnoliopsida; Rosales; Rosaceae.